UGAGCCUGCGUUAGAUUAGCUAGUUGGUAGGGUAAAGGCCUACCAAGGCGACGAUCUAUAGCUGGUCUGAGAGGACGAUCAGCCACACUGGGACUGAGACACGGCCCAGACUCCUACGGGAGGCAGCAGUGGGGAAUAUUGGACAAUGGGCGAAAGCCUGAUCCAGCAAUACCGCGUGUGUGAAGAAGGCCUUAGGGUUGUAAAGCACUUUCAAUUGGGAGGAAAACCUGCCGGUCAAUACCCGGUAGCUUGACAUUACCUUUAGAAGAAGCACCGGCUAACUCCGUGCCAGCAGCCGCGGUAAUACGGAGGGUGCGAGCGUUAAUCGGAAUUACUGGGCGUAAAGCGUGCGUAGGUGGUUCGUUAAGUCAGAUGUGAAAGCCCUGGGCUCAACCUGGGAACUGCAUUUGAAACUGGCGGACUAGAGUUUAGUAGAGGGGAGUGGAAUUUCAGGUGUAGCGGUGAAAUGCGUAGAUAUCUGAAGGAACACCAGUGGCGAAUGCGACUCC
RNAcentral lists this ribosomal RNA (509 nucleotides) under uncultured bacterium. Its description in RNAcentral is "bacterial SSU rRNA". It matches the Rfam family "Bacterial small subunit ribosomal RNA", at positions 226 to 728 of the family's 1533-position model. The record is from RNAcentral.